Molecule: long non-coding RNA, 2428 nt
Organism: Gallus gallus (chicken)
Lineage: Eukaryota; Metazoa; Chordata; Aves; Galliformes; Phasianidae
Source: Ensembl
CCUGGCUCCGUACGCUUCUGUAAAGUUUUCAGAAAUUCUUUAUGGCAUGUAGAGAGGAAGAUGCAUGGUAUUAUGUGCCCUGGGCAAGAGGUGGCUCUGUAUCCCUCACAGCAGCACAUUUCUUACGGCGUUUUGAGUAUAUCUGCUUUUAAUACAGUCAGAGUGCAAGGGGGUGGUUUGACAUUAUUUUCUUGCCAGCUUAGGGAUAAUACCACAACAUAAGUAUGGACAGGAUUUAAAAUGACAUAAGUGUACCAGUGUAAAUCCAGUUUGUAAAAUCUCUAAUUUUUAUAAUUUUGCUGGUUUUAUUUUAUUUUCAAUUUAAAUGUAAAAUACAAAACUAUGAGACAAACCCCAAACUCAACCAUUCUUACUCCAUUAUGAGAGCAUUCAUAUGAGGGGUUAUGACAGUGAUAUAUAUGUUGUAAGUAAAAAGAACGAUGUUUCACAACACAGACACGCCCUUAGAGACAAUCAUUUUAUAGCUUAACGAGCCUUUCCUGCUUUUCUGAAUAUGGCAAAACCCUGCUGCUCUGCUUAGGGGAAUCCUGAUUUUUACCCCUAUCCAGUUUAUCUCUCUAUUAAAAUAUGGUUAUGCUGGGAUUUUCAUGCAUAACUUUGUCUUGAUGGCUGCUUUUCCUCUGUCAGUACAACAAAUAGCUCUGCUAUGUUAGAUAUAUAGAAAUGAUAAAAGCUGAAGCCAGAGCAAGGGACGUGGUUCUGUGAGAUAAAAGAAUGAUGCUGUUUCAGCUGACCUCAGAUUUCUGUAGAAUCUAUGUUUCAUUUUGUAACGAAAGUACUAAGCCAUGGCUUGAAACAGUGAUUGAGCACCUGGUGGGAUGACAGGGCCAACCCAGGUGUGCUCAGGUGCAUGCAAUGCAGCUGACUGACUGGAAGAGGUGGAGCCAGGAUUCAUCCCUUCCUGGACCUCAUUUAAGGGUUGGCAGUGAAAGCAGGUUGAUCUUGUUAGGGAUCUUAGUGUUUGCCUGAGGCCUUUUGAAUGUAGGAAUAUUCUUUCCUUUGUUUCUGUGCCUGUUGUUUUUCAGCAAGUUCUUACUUGCUGUAGCUUAGGACUUAGCUGCUCUGCUGCCAUUGCUGUGCUUUUUAUUGCAUUACAGUGUUAUAUGGUUACUAUGAUUUUUGAGGGCUACAACAGUUUGGAGCACAAGUUCAGUGUGAUGAGUAUAGCCUAGUAUGCUAUGCUGCUCACACUGAUUCAGCUGAGAGGUUUAAUUAUUCCUAAUUUUGUUAUAUUGUAAAACAGCAAUGUGAAGAGGUAUCUGUUGUGUUGAUGUUGCUUGAAAAGCUAAGGAACUGACCAAAAUAAGUUAUUGCAAAUAAUGUUUAUCUGGCUCUUAAAGCUCUUUAAUUACCCAGGACACCAAUGAGAACAAAUUGCAAGGUAGUGCUUUCCUGUUUUUCUUUAUUUUUCUUUCCAUGCAAGAAUGGGGUAAAUAACAGAUAGGAAAGGACAAAAUUCAGAUAGGAGCUCAGGAUUUUUCCUUAAAAUAUAUGCACAAACUUUAGACCACAGAGAAAUAGAACAGCAGCCAUAUUCUUCCUGCAACAGCAAGAACUUCACAGUGCUUGCUGCUUCAUGCUUUCCAACUUCCAUUCAAGUGGUGUGAUGAGAGAAAUCUCUAGCCAGCUUUUAAAGCAGAGUGAUGUAGGCUAUUGAAACAGCUUGCACUGCUAGUCUAAGUGAAGUUUUCACCAGCAGUAGAUGAGGAAGCAGUUGUAUGAAUCUAGCUCCACAAUAGGAGCAGACCCUGUGGCCAAAGAUGAAGUAGAAAGAAAGAGGGUGUCCAGGUAGCUCUGCAGAUGACUUUUUCUCCAGUGCACUUAUGGCUGAGCUGUUAACUAGUUGUUUCCUUUGUCUAGCGCUUCAUAAAUGUGACACAUCCAAAAUACAUGUGUGAAGAGUUCAUCCUACACAUGAUUUAGGGAAGUACUGAAAAAAAAGUCUAGUCUUAACCAACAAGCAAGUUGGUCUAUGGUCAUGAGAAGUGGGAGAGCAGUCUUCCAGUGGCUCAUCUGAUAUGAAUCACCACCUUAGUUAAUCACUUAGCUAGGAUUCCUGAGGAAUUAUAUACCCAUUCAUAUUGCUCUGUUUCUGAGAGAGAAGAUUAUAGGAGCUGGGCUGAAGUAUCUUAUCAGCACCAAUCAGAUGCUGCUUAUGCUGGAUUUAAGACUAUACUGGUGCUGUCCUUGUUCCCUUUAUAGUAAUUGCUCUUCUAUUUGAUGGCAAUCAAAUGUCCACAGUGACAUUAAAGUGUUUGCUAUGAGAUUAUUUAGAAAUAGCUCUUUUCCUUUUUGAAAAGAUCCAUAUAUAUCACAAAAUGAAUGCCUUGUCCAUCUAUUGCUGCUGGAAUAGUUGGUGAAAUCAGCAGUAUAUCUCUGUUCUACUUUCAUCCCUCUUAUACAACAG